AUUUCGGUGGUCUUAUGGUUUUAGGACACUUGUACGGAAUACAAGAGAUCUGGGUUCAAAUCCCGGCACAGGUA
Molecule: transfer RNA, 74 nt
Filed under: Acromyrmex echinatior (Panamanian leafcutter ant)
Lineage: Eukaryota; Metazoa; Arthropoda; Insecta; Hymenoptera; Formicidae
Rfam family: tRNA
About the family: Transfer RNA (tRNA) molecules are approximately 80 nucleotides in length. Their secondary structure includes four short double-helical elements and three loops (D, anti-codon, and T loops). Further hydrogen bonds mediate the characteristic L-shaped molecular structure. tRNAs have two regions of fundamental functional importance: the anti-codon, which is responsible for specific mRNA codon recognition, and the 3' end, to which the tRNAs corresponding amino acid is attached (by aminoacyl-tRNA synthetases). tRNAs cope with the degeneracy of the genetic code in two manners: having more than one tRNA (with a specific anti-codon) for a particular amino acid; and 'wobble' base-pairing, i.e. permitting non-standard base-pairing at the 3rd anti-codon position.
Source: Rfam by way of RNAcentral